This 221-nucleotide long non-coding RNA is filed under the name Musa acuminata (dwarf banana). Its description in RNAcentral is "long non-coding RNA (MACU_LNC011413)". The record is from RNAcentral. Lineage: Eukaryota; Viridiplantae; Streptophyta; Magnoliopsida; Zingiberales; Musaceae.
UUUUGACGAUUUAAACACUUUCGGAAACUUCGUACGAUAAAAGUAACGUUUUCAUUUGAAACCGUUUCGAUUGUGUUUUAACUUGAAGAGAUAAGUAAGACGGAGACAAAGAAGUAGAGCAUUAAAGUGCAAAUGGUUUCAGUAAUGUAAAUGACAAUAAGUAAAUGCAAACCAGAGAUCACGCCGAUUUUACAGUGGUUCGGUCAAAUGACCUACAUCCA